UGAAGCAAAUAUUAAUCUAAACUCUCAACCCCACACAAUAACACUUUUUCAGUUUAUAAAUGUGAACUGAAUCUCCGAUUCAAGCCUGUGAUUGUGAAGUCCAAUCGAAAAUGCAGCCAGAGGGCUGCUGAGAGCCCCAAAGCUGCAUCUUGGCUAUAGUGUGUCUUCAAUGAUCUCUCAUAUGUUCAGCAUUAGAGUACUACAAUGCCCAUAGCAUUUUACAAUUACCCAUGAACAAAGAUUUAGGAAAGGACCUUCCCAAAGAAUCAGACUUCAAGAGCUGGACAAAAUGAGGUGUAUGCCUAGAGUACAAGUUGACAAAGCUAAAUGUGAAAAAAAGUUUUUAACCACAGGUAGUGUUUUGAUAUGCAUGGAAAAUUCUAGUCUAGAUGACUUGUUAGCAGAAUUUGAAGCAAGAAAACAGAAAUAAACCCCAGGUGUCUUAUAUCUGCAGCUUUCAGUUGCCCAAGUCCCUCUUCUGCAGGGCAAAAUUUAGUAAAAAAAUCUUGCACUGCACUGUCAGGUGGUGGAACAUAACAAAACAUUUGUUUGUUUCAUCUUUCCCUGAAUGCAGGGAAGUGCAUUGCCACUUGGAAGUGGCUUUCCUAGCUUUCUCCUGUAGGAACCCAAUUAGCUAGACUGAUGGCAAAUGUGGACACCCUUAAGACUUGGUAAUUCAUCCACUUUACCAGGACAGGUGGAUGAAGUGGGAUUUUGAAUGCCAGUGGUGGAUUUGACUACACAUUUGCAGAAAAGGCCCCUGGGCUGCUCAAGUUCUUUCCAGACACAUUACAUCUCCCAGCAGUGAAGCAAGGAGUGCUCUCUCUGCCUGUUAUACACAUUCCUGAAUGCAUCCAGGCCAAGGUCCACAAGGAAGCCCAAAGUGCAGAGUAGUGUUGAAUGAGUUGUUACAGAGAGGAAUGACUAGGUUAGAUAUGGACAUCUAGGGUGUGGAUGCCCACAUAAGCAUCAUCUGAGAUGCUCUGGGGAUCCUGCUUGACCAGUGUCUGUGUCUCCCACACAACAUAAGUCAACAUAAGUCUCACGUAGCUCCUGCAUCAUCUGCUGUGGAUGCCUUGGUUCUUUAAAGUUGUCCUAGCACAAGAUCCCUAUGGUAAGGCAAGCUUCCCACUGGAAUAAUGGAAAAGCCUCCAUACCUAAGUGUCUGUAUGUUAAGAUUGAAGGAACUAUGUGUAACCUCAUCUAAUGUCUCUUCUCUUGUCUUCUCCAUUUUCAGAUGUUACUCCAUCUCCUUCAGUCUACAGGCUGAUCUCUAACGAUGAUGAGGAUUUGGAAAUGUGCCUUAUCACAGAUUAUGCCCCUGAAAAGCUUUCUAACUCAUCUGAUAAGCAGACAAAUACUGUUGUGGAGGUGGCAACAUCUGAGAACAAACAGGAAGCGAGCUACCUGUCAACCUACUGGGCCAGGAAAGAUGAAAUGCAGUGUGGUGCAAAUUACGAGGGCUUUGGAGAACUGGAGGGCGAGGAUCCUGAAAGUGGUGCCAGUGCUGUCUGUGUUACAGGAGUGUCUCUGCACUUCAGGACAGAUGAAAACCUGAACAUGCUGUCCUUAUCACUGCUGGGCCUGAAAAUAAUUUUAAUGAAAGGAAUAAUUGUUAAUGUGGUGAUGACGAUGCUUAUGGGGAAAAAAAGGAAUGAAAGUAAACAGAUGGUGCAGUCCUGAAGUACCAAAAAAAACUCUGCCGAGGAACUCUUACCAGAGCAUCAUGCGCAAGAGGGAGCAGAG
Molecule: non-coding RNA, 1746 nt
Organism: Egretta garzetta (little egret)
Lineage: Eukaryota; Metazoa; Chordata; Aves; Pelecaniformes; Ardeidae
Source: the annotation of a RefSeq genome assembly